CCUACGGGAGGCAGCAGUGGGGAAUCUUGCACAAUGGAGGAAACUCUGAUGCAGCGAUGCCGCGUGAGUGAAGAAGGCCUUUGGGUUGUAAAGCUCUUUUGUAGGGGAAGAUAAUGACUGUACCCUAAGAAUAAGGUCCGGCUAACUUCGUGCCAGCAGCCGCGGUAAUACGAAGGGACCUAGCGUAGUUCGGAAUUACUGGGCGUAAAGCGCGCGUAGGCCGUUGAGUUAGUUAAUUGUGAAAUCCCAAAGCUUAACUUUGGAACUGCAAUUAAAACUGCUCGACUAGAGUUUGAUAGAGGAAAGCGGAAUACAUAGUGUAGAGGUGAAAUUCGUAGAUAUUAUGUAGAACACCAGUUGCGAAGGCGGCUUUCUGGAUCAACACUGACGCUGAGGCGCGAAAGUAUGGGUAGCAAAGAGGAUUAGAUACCCUCGUAGUCCAUACCAUAAACGAUGAUUGCUAGAUGUUGGAAAUUUAUUUUCAGUAUCGCAGCUAACGCAUUAAGCAAUCCGCCUGGGGAGUACGACCGCAAGGUUAAAACUCAAAGGAAUUGAACGGCUGAGAGUGCGAGACGACACGAGGAGAG
Molecule: ribosomal RNA, 587 nt
Filed under: uncultured bacterium
Lineage: Bacteria
Description: bacterial SSU rRNA
Rfam family: Bacterial small subunit ribosomal RNA
Source: RNAcentral